CAAUAGCGUAUAUUAAAGUUGUUGCGGUUAAAAAGCUCGUAGUUGGAUUUCUGCUGAGAACGACCGGUCCGCCCUCUGGGUGUGUAUCUGGCUCUUUCUUGGCAUCUUCUUGGUGAACGUUGCUGCACUUGACUGUGUGGAGCGCUACCCAGGACUUUUACUUUGAGGAAAUUAGAGUGUUUCAAGCAGGCAUACGCCUUGAAUACAUUAGCAUGGAAUAAUAAGAUAGGACCUCGGUUCUAUUUUGUUGGUUUCUAGAGCUGAGGUAAUGAUUAAUAGGGAUAGUUGGGGGCAUUCGUAUUUAACUGUCAGAGGUGAAAUUCUUGGACUUGUUAAAGACGGACUACUGCGAAAGCAUUUACCAAGGAUGUUUUCAUUAA
Molecule: ribosomal RNA, 380 nt
Filed under: uncultured eukaryote
Lineage: Eukaryota
Description: partial 18S ribosomal RNA
Rfam family: Eukaryotic small subunit ribosomal RNA
Source: RNAcentral